Drosophila miranda is the source of this 422-nucleotide long non-coding RNA. RefSeq lists it as uncharacterized. The record is from RefSeq and is a predicted model, not a curated record. Lineage: Eukaryota; Metazoa; Arthropoda; Insecta; Diptera; Drosophilidae. The transcript is spliced from 2 exons.
UAAAACUCAGUAUAGUGUGAAACUAUUGUCAAAAUAGGACGUAACCCAAGUGGUGGAUCUUUUGUAAAAUACUUUUACAGGCAAAAAUUUAGUAAAAAAUAGCGAAAUACAAAGUAUCCCAAGAUAUAUUCGGCAGCUUGCUCAUUCCCAUCAUUCGCAGUAGAGAUGCAAAAUCGGACCAGAACCGGGUCCGGAAUCGCAGAAGUUCGAGCACCGGAGAGGAUAGCGGGCCAUGCUGAUAGAUAUGAUGAGAACAGGCAACAUACUGACAAGGUCUUCAAUUAGAAGUCACUUAACAGGCCACCAGCCUUUGUCAAUCUUUCCAUAUUUCCAGCCUUAAUGCACAUAUCCAAAGAAGGCGCCAAGCGAUUGGCACCGCCCAGAGAUACCGUAAAAAGAAAAUACAUUGUCGAUUUAUUCAA